AGGACGAACGCUGGCGGCGUGCUUAACACAUGCAAGUCGAGCGGAAAGGCCCUUCGGGGUACUCGAGCGGCGAACGGGUGAGUAACACGUGAGGAACCUGCCCUUAACUCUGGGAUAGCUUCGGGAAACCGGAAUUAAUACCGGAUACGACAACGAUCGGCAUCGAUCGCGGUGGAAAGAUUUAUCGGUUAGGGAUGGACUCGCGGCCUAUCAGCUUGUUGGUGAGGUAACGGCUCACCAAGGCGACGACGGGUA
This 255-nucleotide ribosomal RNA is filed under the name uncultured bacterium. RNAcentral describes it as "partial small subunit ribosomal RNA". It matches the Rfam family "Bacterial small subunit ribosomal RNA", at positions 26 to 285 of the family's 1533-position model. The record is from RNAcentral.